Camelina sativa (false flax) is the source of this 1346-nucleotide non-coding RNA. The record is from RefSeq and is a predicted model, not a curated record. Lineage: Eukaryota; Viridiplantae; Streptophyta; Magnoliopsida; Brassicales; Brassicaceae.
UUUCAUUUCUUCCUCUUCCACCUUCUGCCUCUCUCUCUCGCGAUAAGCGAUUCUAAAACGAAAAAAUCUUUAUCUCUCAUCAUAAUCACAUUUCUUCUUCAUCUUCGUCAUCUACGUCAUCUACGUCAUCUACAGUUCUUCUCUCUGUCAAACAUGGUGUAGAGAUCGACCUUUUAGAUGUCCAAACCCUAAUCUCGAGUUUUAGACGGGUAGUGUCUUCUUCUUUUCUUUGUCUUAUCCUAUGUCUCUCUUUUUGAGAUCUUGCCUUACAAUAAGCUAUUGGUACUCCGAUCCCUAAUUGAAAUUUUCAAUCCCGGAGGAUUUUGGUUAUGCUGAGAGGUGAAGCCGAGGAAAGCGACAUAGAAGAAGAAACUAAGAGGUGGAUUCAUCGGCAAAGUCGGAGCAACAAAGAAUCUUUUCGACAGAUGCGUCGGAGCACCCGCAACGAUGAAGCUCUUCUUGGUGGUACGGGUGAGAAUUGAUUAUACUACAAUACCAUCGAGAGGCUUUUGACUGGUCUUGCGUUUUGGAUCUGAGUUCGGGAUUUCGUAUUAAGUCCUUGCUCUUUAUUGAGUUCUGAUUUCGUUUCAAAUUUGCUUAUACGCUGUUUGUAGCUGCUUUGUUGUGAGUGAUUUGUUUGCUAAUAGAUUAUUUUGAACUUGACUUCUCUUAGCUUCCGACUAAUAAUGGAUUAUUUCUGGCAGAAGGAGAUUCAGGUAGUGUUAAGAUUGAUGAAAUUCUCAGAUUUGUUAUUUUUGAAAAUUGAGUUACUUUUACAGGGUUUAGAGACAUCACCUCGACAAGUAAAGAAACAUCCUCACAAACAAGAACUUCUUUAAGACCAAGAUAACAAGGAGCCAAUUGAAAGAAGAACCACCAUUAGACUGACAAGGUCGUCAACACUUACAAGAGGAAUUUGAGAACGUCUUCAACAGAGAAUAUCAUCAAGGUAGUAGGACAAUUGGCACCAACUACAAGUGAAAGUGGAUCAAGCAGCAGUUAGGAUUGGAAGCAAGUUACGGAGUCUGCCGCCGUUUCAUUUAAUGAGCCAUGAUGACAACACAACCUUAAAGGAGACCAAGCUGUGGGGCGUAAGAUUCGAAGAGAGUGUCACUGAGAAGGUGGAGAUUGAAGCUCAUUUGUUGUUCAAUUUGCUAUAUCAUUUUAUGUUAGAUUAUUAAUGCUUCUUUCACUUUGUAGAUGAACUCUUUCUGAUUUUUGCUUUGUCUUUGCUCAUGUUAUGUGAAUUGUGUUAGUUUGUGUGAUGAUGUUUCUUGAGCUGAAGUUUCAUGGUUGUUGUUGAGAGACUACAAAUAUACAAUACCUGCAGGACCUUGAAAAUUUCA